RNAcentral lists this transfer RNA (76 nucleotides) under Duganella sp. 1411. RNAcentral describes it as "tRNA-Val". The record is from RNAcentral. Lineage: Bacteria; Pseudomonadati; Pseudomonadota; Betaproteobacteria; Burkholderiales; Oxalobacteraceae.
GGGGGCCGAGCCGGAAUCGCUUGGCCUCGCAUUCACACUGCAGGGGGCGCAAGUUCGAAACUUGCACUUCCCACCA